RNAcentral lists this ribosomal RNA (301 nucleotides) under uncultured bacterium. Its description in RNAcentral is "partial 16S ribosomal RNA". It matches the Rfam family "Bacterial small subunit ribosomal RNA", at positions 509 to 809 of the family's 1533-position model. The record is from RNAcentral.
CAGUAGCCGCGAGAAUACAGAGGGUGCGAGCGUUAAUCGGAUUUACUGGGCGUAAAGCGUGCGUAGGCGGCUUCUUAAGUCGGAUGUGAAAUCCCUGAGCUUAACUUAGGAAUUGCAUUCGAUACUGGGAAGCUAGAGUAUGGGAGAGGAUGGUAGAAUUCCAGGUGUAGCGGUGAAAUGCGUAGAGAUCUGGAGGAAUACCGAUGGCGAAGGCAGCCAUCUGGCCUAAUACUGACGCUGAGGUACGAAAGCAUGGGGAGCAAACAGGAUUAGAUACCCCGGUAGUCCCUGUCUCUUAUAA